RNAcentral lists this ribosomal RNA (465 nucleotides) under uncultured bacterium. RNAcentral's name for it is "partial 16S ribosomal RNA". It matches the Rfam family "Bacterial small subunit ribosomal RNA", at positions 28 to 507 of the family's 1533-position model. The record is from RNAcentral.
GACGAACGCUGGCGGCGUGCUUAACACAUGCAAGUCGAACGGAAAGGCCCUGCUUGCAGGGUACUCGAGUGGCGAACGGGUGAGUAACACGUGGGUGAUCUGCCCUGCACUUCGGGAUAAGCCUUGGAAACUGGGUCUAAUACCGGAUAGGAGCCAUUUUUAGUGUGAUGGUUGGAAAGUUUUUUCGGUGUAGGAUGAGCUCGCGGCCUAUCAGCUUGUUGGUGGGGUAAUGGCCUACCAAGGCGGCGACGGGUAGCCGGCCUGAGAGGGUGGACGGCCACAUUGGGACUGAGAUACGGCCCAGACUCCUACGGGAGGCAGCAGUGGGGAAUAUUGCACAAUGGGCGCAAGCCUGAUGCAGCGACGCCGCGUGGGGGAUGACGGCCUUCGGGUUGUAAACUCCUUUCGCUAGGGACGAAGCUUUUUGUGACGGUACCUAGAUAAGAAGCACCGGCUAACUACGUG